GCCGACGUAGCUCAGCUGGUAGAGCAGCUGACUUGUAAUCAGCAGGUCAUCGGUUCGAACCCGAUCGUCGGCUCCA
Molecule: transfer RNA, 76 nt
Filed under: Verrucomicrobiota bacterium
Lineage: Bacteria; Pseudomonadati; Verrucomicrobiota
Description: Verrucomicrobia bacterium (fermentation metagenome) tRNA-Thr
Rfam family: tRNA
About the family: Transfer RNA (tRNA) molecules are approximately 80 nucleotides in length.
Source: RNAcentral